Molecule: unclassified non-coding RNA, 440 nt
Filed under: uncultured fungus
Lineage: Eukaryota; Fungi
Description: partial contains small subunit ribosomal RNA, internal transcribed spacer 1, and 5.8S ribosomal RNA
Rfam family: Eukaryotic small subunit ribosomal RNA (bases 1-73)
Source: RNAcentral
UCAAACUUGGUCAUUUAGAGGAAGUAAAAGUCGUAACAAGGUUUCCGUAGGUGAACCUGCGGAAGGAUCAUUACCAACCUUUGGUGAGCCUUGGAUUCGUCCAUGGUCUCGCGAAAACUUGUAUUUAAAACCCGCUCAUAUAACUAAAAACAUGUAGUAACAUGAUAAUUUAAAGAUCACUUUCAACAACGGAUCUCUUGGCUCUCAGAGACAGUCAAACUUGGUCAUUUAGAGGAAGUAAAAGUCGUAACAAGGUUUCCGUAGGUGAACCUGCGGAAGGAUCAUUACCAACCUUUGGUGAGCCUUGGAUUCGUCCAUGGUCUCGCGAAAACUUGUAUUUAAAACCCGCUCAUAUAACUAAAAACAUGUAGUAACAUGAUAAUUUAAAGAUCACUUUCAACAACGGAUCUCUUGGCUCUCGCAUCGAUGAAGAACGCAGC